GGGGCCGGCGAGCAGGUGACCUCCGUCCCUACCGGGAGGACCAGGGCGGGCCGGCGAGGUCGAGGGGGACCCGCGGGUCUGAGGGAGGACGGAGUGGGGGAGUGCUGAGGGAGGACCCGGGGUGGGGAGCUGAGGGAGGAUCCGCAGGGCUGAGGGAGGAUCCAGGAGAGCUGAUAGAGGUCCCGGAGGGCUGAGGGAGGACCCAGGGGUCCUGAGGGAGGACGCAGGGGGCUGAGGGAAGACGCAGGGGGGCUGAGGGAGGAUCCUCGGAGCUGAAGGGGCAUCAGCUGGGCUGAGGGAGGACCCAGGGGGACUGCGGGAGCACCCGGGCGGGGGCUGAGGGAAGGAGGAUCCGCGGGGCUGAGUGGGCACCAGCUGGGCUGAGGGAGGAUCCAGGGGGAGCUGCGGAAGGAUCUGCGGGGCUGAGAGAGGAUCUAGAAGGGGUGAGAGAGGUCCCAGGAGGCUAAGGGGGGAAUCUGCAGAACUGAGGGAGGUCCCAGGGGGCAGUGAGGGAGGAUCCAUGGGCGCUGAGGUGGGAAUCUAGGGAGGCUGAGGGAGGAUCUGUGGGGAUGACGGAAGUUCAAGGGGGGCUGAAGAGGCACGCAGCGGGCUGAGGAGGACCUGAGAGGCUGAAGGAGGAUCCGAAAGGCUGAUACAGCGGGGCUGAGGGGGGAUCCGCGGGGUUGGCGGGGGCUGAGAAAUGACCCUGUAGUUCACAGCAAAAUGGAGUAAUUUAUGUCACAACGUAACCAAAAUGGAGUGGGGAGGGCCCUAAGGAAGCAGCUGUCACGCAUUUCUGAAAUGCCAGAGAGGCUCGCUAUUACCUUGUAAACAGAGCUUAUUCCGGGCAUUUCCACUGGCCUGCAGUAUUCCAGAUGAGAUGUUUGGACCAGGGCAGGCAGAUAGCAUCGCCUAUCUGCCUCAGCGAACCAGGGUCACUUUGUGCAAUGAGUUCAUGAGACCAGGGCCUUUGUUUUGUGAAAGUUACAAAUAAGGAGUGAAAUCACUUUGUCAGGCCCAGACAAACAGGGCUGGGAAGAACAGGAGGCUCAGGCUUAGUGUCUGAGAUAAGAAUUAUUCGCAAGGACUUUCUAAAAACCCCACAAGAAACCCUUUUGUGUCAUUCACGGGUCUCCUACUUUGACAAAAUUUAGACCAUCUUUAGGACUGCAGUAAUUCAGUUAAGAUGCUCGGAAUAAACACUUGCCCAGUAAUGGCAGCGCCACCAAUGAACUGAGGACAACUUUGAGCUUUGGCGUUGGGCCCCUGGAACCAAUGAACUCUUUCUAAGCAGCUUCUGUGAACCGCUCCCUUUUCGCUGAUAAAAGUUCCCUUUUCACUGAUAAAAAGUUCCCUUUACCCUUCCCUCACUGGGAAUGCUGGUGGCUUGCUGCUGUUGAUGAAAAGAGUCAAACUUUGUAAAAUAUUUUAAGAGAUAUAUUCUGAGCCAAAUAUGAGUAACCAUGGCCUGUGACACAGCCCUCAGGACAGAGGUCCUGAGAACAUGUUCCCAAGGUGGUUGGGGUGCAGCUUGGUUUUAUACAUUUUAGGGAGGCAUGAGACAUCAAUCAAAUACAUUUAAAACCUACAUUGGUUUGGUUCAGAAAGGCAGGACAACUCGAAGCAGGGGUCAAGGGUGCUGGCUUCCAGCUUAUAGGUAGAUUGAAAAAUUUUCUGUUUGACAAUUGGUUGAAUUUACCUGAAGACCUGGGAUUAACAGAAAGGAAUGUCUGGGUUAAGAUAAAAGAUUGUGGGUGGGGUGCAGUGGCUCACACCUGUAAUCCCAGCACUUUGGGAGGCUAAGGCAGGCGGAUCACGAGGUCAGGAGUUCGAGACCAGCCUGACCAACAUGGUGAAACCUCCUCUCUACUAAAAAUACAAAAAUUAGCUGGGCGUGGUGGUGUGUGCCUGUAAUCCCAGUUACUCAGGAGGCUGAGGCAGAAGAAUCACUUCAGCCCAGGAGGCGGAGGUUGAAGUGAGCCGAGAUUGCGCCACUGCACUCCAGCUUAGGCAAUAGAGUGAGACUCCAUCUAAAAAAAAAAAAAAAGGAAAGAAAAAAAAAUAUAUAUAUAUAUGAUUGUGGAGACCAAAGUUCUUAUUUGCAGAUGAAGCCUUCAGGUAUUAGGCUUCAGAGAGAAUAGGUUGUAAAAUGUUUAUCGGACUUAAAGUCUAUGUUGAUGUUAAUGCCAGAGAGGUAUAAUGAGGCAUGUCUGACCCCCACUUCUUAUGGCCUGAACCAGUCUUUGAGGUUAAAUUUUAAGAGUUCCAGGCCAGGCACAGUGGCUGACACCUGUAAUCCCAACACUUUGGGAGGCAGAGGUGGGCGAAUCACUUCAGGUCAGGAGUUCGAGACCAGCCUGGCCAACAUGGUGAAACCCGGUCUCCACUAAAAAAUAUACAAAAAUUAGCCAGGCAUGGUGGUGCGCACCUGUAAUCCCAGCUACUCAGGAGGCUGAGGCAGGAGAAUCACUUGAACCUGGGAGGCAGAGGUUGCAGUGAGCAGAGAUCGCACCACUGCACUCCAGCCUGGGUGACAGAGCAAGACUCCGUCAAAAAAAAAAAAUUUUUUUUAAGAGUUCCCUGGCCGAGGAGGAAGUCCAUUUAGAUGGCUGGGGAGCCUUAUAAAUUUAUUUUUUAUUUUUGGUUUACACUUGAUAAAAACUUCAGCCGAAUUAAAUUUAAAGUUUAAUUGAGCAAUGAAUGAUUCACGAAUCACGCAGCCCCCAGAAUCACAGCAGAUUCACAGAGACUCCAGCACAGCCACGUGGUGGAAGAUUCGUAGACAAAAAAAGGUAAAUGAUGUACAGAAAUUGAAAGUAAAGUACAAAACAGCUGGAUUGGUUUCAGGUUGGUGUUUGCCGUAUUUGAACACAGUUUGAACGCUCAGCAGUAUAUGAAUAGUUGAAGUGCAGCCUCUGGGAUUGGCCAAGACGCAGCUAUUGUUACAGUUGCAUACUCCUGUUAGGUUUUCAAUCUAUCUACCUAUUAAGCUAGGUUGCAGUUCAUCCACAAGGACUCAAAUAUAAAAAUAUGAAGUCCUUCUCAGGCCAUAUUUAGUUUGCUUCAGCAACUACCCUCUUUUGGUCAUUUUCUCAAUUUUGAGAGAUUGACCAAAACUUUAGUUGUUGUCACUAUCACCAUAGUAAAUGUACUUAUUUGCUCCUGAAAUCCAGUGGGAAACAGUAGAACAAUGAGUUUUCCAAAGGUAGGAACAAAGACUGAGUAGAGGGUACCUCUUUAUGCUGGAACAUCCUGUUUACAGGAGAAAAAACCUGGUCUGUUCUAGGAUUUAUAUGUAUCCUUAGUUUGAUUAUGUCACAUUUAGCAUGAGUGACUCCAUUUUAGUUUGGUUUGUCCUGUUGGGACCUAGUGCAUGAGCUUAGUCCAAAACAAUGGCCUCCCAUAAUUGUGUUUUUUAAAAAAUUCCCCCUUUUUGGUCAGGUUCUUACUUAGGUGAGAGUGUGACCAAAACUUGGGGCCUUAGCACCACUCUCUGUUACCAUCAUUUUGUGUUUCUGGUGUCAGCACAUCGUUCAUAGGUUAUGGUAUCCUCAUGGUCACAUAUUUCUUUCAGCUCUUUCAUUCCAGUUGAAGAGAGACCAUUUGACGUUCUAGAGAUAGCUGUGUGCAAUCAUUUAAAAUCUUUGAGAGAAUACAGUGCACCAGGGAGACUAUUAUUAUGCCUAUUGGGAGCAUAAUACCAAGAGUUUGGAGUAUGCUCCUUACCCAGGGUCCCCAUAAACCAAACCACCUAAAAUUAAAUAGAUUAAAGAAUGAGUGAGAUGAAGGGUCUACUUGCUUGACUAAGUGAUCUUUUCAUUAAUCUUCUACAACUGAAUUUUUAUAAUCUACAUUUAAUGUAUUCCUCCAUAGGCCACAGCUGCCAGCAGCUGCACAGGUACUUUUCUAUUUAACUAAUUCUAUUAUUUAGCAUAACUUUCACAAGAGAAUUUAAAGUCUGUUGUGUAACGAUAGUCUUUACAGUAGAAUCUGCUAGAAAGCCUAUUAUGAGGGAUAUAUUUCUAGUUAUUGCCUAUUUUAUUCUAAACGAUGGAAAAAGGACCUAACAAAUGAUGUCCUUUUAGAAAAGUGAAGGCCCCCUGACAAUGUUCUCUUUAACCCAUGAUGUGGGUUAAGAGGAGUUUUUACUGAUUAUGAGGAAAUAUAUGUACAAUUAAAGUUUUUCACCUACAUUGGGCCUUCGUCUUGUCUUUAUCAAAGUAUAAGUUUAUUCAUGUAUAAGGCUGGCUACAAAAUCCUUCACAAAUAAAAGUAUACCUUAUAACUGAACAUAAUAGAACCCCUUUUCAUUUCUAUUAUUCAUAGAGGCAUAAACAAGGAAAAAAAUAUUCAAAGAUAAGAGUCUCAUUAUAGAAGCCUUGAUCCAUGAUCAUGGGAAAAGCUGUUCACAUCAAGGAUGCCAUCUUCUUCUGGGAAGAAACUUUCUGGGUUAGUUUUACCUUAAGGAUUCCAAUGGGUGUACAGUUCCAAGAGUGUAGAGGGACCCCUUUCAGUUGUUUAUGAACCCAAGGUUCAAGGUUCCAAAGUUUUGUUGCAGUGUAGAAGGACAGUCUUUCUCUGAUGUUCUCAGAAGAGUCAGUCUUCAGGUUCUGGAUUGUGAAGGGGUUGAUUGUCCUCAGUGAACCAUAAAAAGUUUUCUUUAUCUGGUGAAAAUAUACUCUGGCAUAAUAAUUAGCUGUUAUAACAUAAAACAUGCAUUGAAAAUGACAGUGGAAUGAAAUUCAUUUAUACAUGUUUAAAUGACCCAUCAGGUAGCCAAAUGUACCUGAAGGUUUGAUUACCUUCCCAGGAAUAUGGAACCAACCAUUGGUUUUAUUUUAUUUUAUUUUAUUUUGAGAUGGAGUCUCACUCUAUUGCCCAGGCUGGAGUGCAGGGGCAUGAUCUUGGCUCACUGCAGCCUCCACCUCCCGGGUUCAAGCGAUUCUCCUGCCUCAGCCUCCUGCGUAGCUGGGACUGUAGGCACCCGCCACCACGCCCAGCUAAUUUUUACAUUUUUAGUAGAGACAGGGUUUCACCAUAUUGGCCAGGCUGGUCUUGAACUCCUGACUUUGUGAUCCACCCACCUCAGCCUCCCAAAGUGAUGGGAUUACAGGCAUGAGCCACCAUGCCCAGCUGUGUUUUUUUUUUACAAGAAUCAUCUGCUUAUUUAUUUUACAAAGUAAUUAUUUAAAUUGAGUACAUUUGGGCACAGUAGAUAUUGGACAUGAAAAGUAUUUGUAUCAGAAUGGGCAUCAGAAAAAUAGCAACUCAUCUUACACAUAAUAACUAGAAAAUAUUAUUCUGUCUGAUCAUUUAAGUGUUACAAAUCCUGAGAAUGUUAUACACUGAACAAAUUAGGUACUACCUUAAAAUUAAAUCUUGCUUGGAAAUAAUCCUUUAAAAAUGAUCUGAGGUACAAAUCAUCUAUGUAUUAAACGUGAGUCUUUGACAUUAUACAAAGAGUUUAAACAAAUAUAUAAAUUACAGGUCAGUGGCUCUUAAAAUAGCUACCAGUCAGGUUCAAGGACACACUGUUCCGCAAUUUCCCAUAAGCUGGGGUUUUCCAUUGCAGCCUCCACUUGCUCUUUGUUGUUUAUCUGCAUACUUAUAUCUUCUGUUGAGUGGGUUCCUUCAGAAAUGUAGAUUUCCAACUUAUGUUUAAAUGGUAAACACUGCUGAAGUUUUAUUCUUAAGCACAGCCCCAUAAGAAUCGCCAAAUAUCAAUGAGGUACUCUUGGUGUAAACUUGAUAAUAACCAGAUAGUCUUCUUCAUUUAUCUCCUGAACUUCCAUAUAACUUUCCGUUACCAAUUCCAGUUCUUCUAAAGUAUUGGGCUUUUCUGGGUCCCAGAUAGUUCGAAUCAAAUCAUAAACCUCUAGCACUUUCUCUUCCAUGAUCCGGGGCUGCCGGGCAGCUCCCCACUCAAAGAGGCCCGAGAGCCACAGGAUUCUGCUCAGUGUCCAGGAAAGCAGCCUCAGCUCUGCCAUCCCUGGCAACUGUGGAGGUAUUGGUUUUAAACAGUUUUCACAAUUUACAAGUUAACCACAUCAGUAUAUUAAAUUUGGGUCAUUUUAUCUUUUCCAUGAUGAAUCAUAAAAUCCAGAACCAUUAAUAACAAAAGCCUUAGAGUCUCAAGAGGGACAAGGUGGCCAUCCUGGUUCUCCAUGAGUCCAUGCUUAACACUGGACUUAUGUCCUCUUGAAUACCAGUUGUUUCUCCAAUUUAUCAUAGGUAAUUUGACUCAGACCUUGGAGUUCAAAUUGUAUAUCUAAACAAUUUUAGUAUUGGCUGGCUUAACAUGAAAAUCUGGCAAAGUAUUUUCUUGGAAUUUCAAUAAUUUUUUCUUUUUUUGAGACAGAGUCUCACUCUGUUGUCCAGGCUGGGGUACAGUGGCAUGAUGUUGGCGCACUGCAGCCUCCAUCUCCUGGGUUCAAGUGAUCCUCCUGCCUCAGCCUCCCAAGUAGCUGAGAUUACAGACUUGCACCACCAUACCCAGCUAAUUUUUGUAUUUUUAAUAGAUACAGGGUUUUGCCAUGUUGGCCAGGCUGGUCUGAAACUCCUGACCCUGUCAGGUGAUCUGCCCACCUCAGCCCCGCAAAGUGCUGGGAUAACAGGUGUGAGUCACUGUGCCUGGCCUGUAUUUAAUUUUUUCUGUUCCACUUGAGUUAGCAGUUUUAUGCAAGGGAAUUU
RNAcentral lists this long non-coding RNA (6690 nucleotides) under Homo sapiens (human). RNAcentral's name for it is "non-protein coding lnc-ARF1-3:1". The record is from RNAcentral. Lineage: Eukaryota; Metazoa; Chordata; Mammalia; Primates; Hominidae.